This 284-nucleotide long non-coding RNA is filed under the name Elaeis guineensis (African oil palm). RNAcentral's name for it is "long non-coding RNA (EGUI_LNC073037)". Lineage: Eukaryota; Viridiplantae; Streptophyta; Magnoliopsida; Arecales; Arecaceae. The record is from RNAcentral.
GAGCUCGGAUGGAAUCCGAAAGGUGGUCGACCAUCGUAGAAACUUGGAUGGAGUCUGGUUACUGUAGAAAUCCCAUUGUCGGAGAAGCUCGAACACUGACGAAGUUCGAAAGAAGUUCGGAGUAGAGUCAUCCAUGGUCGGAAGAAGUCUGAAAGGAAUUCGAAGAAUAGUCGAUCAUCAUAGAAAAUUAGCUAAUAGCAGAGUUCAGAGAGCAUUUGGAGUAGUCCGGUAGAUGAAUGGAGAAGCUCAUUAUCGAAGAAGUUCGGAUGGUAAUAUGGAAGCUC